Long non-coding RNA from Cebus imitator (Panamanian white-faced capuchin), 2306 nucleotides. RefSeq lists it as uncharacterized. Lineage: Eukaryota; Metazoa; Chordata; Mammalia; Primates; Cebidae. The record is from RefSeq and is a predicted model, not a curated record. The transcript is spliced from 2 exons.
GAAGGUGAACAUGAGGAAGCAGAACACACGGGGAAGAAGAGCAUCAUGGCAUUCUGGGUCAGGAGCCGGUAGCCAAGGGAAAUCAAGACGGCAAAGGCGUGGUCAUCAGAAAGCAGAAAAGCUAGAGCAUCCAGACAGUCAAUAGUAUGAGCUAAGUGUGACUUCAUGGGGCAGAUCAGACUUCAGCCAAACUGGGGACAGAAGUACAGCCUUUGCAGUCCUGGUUUGGAAGCAGCUUGCUCCAGCCUCGGGUGCUUGUGUUUGCCUACUGUGUGAGAGCCGCCUCUGAGCAAACUGGCACUGCGUAUAGUGACAGUUGAAGAACUCUCUCUCUCUCAGAGGGAAGCACCAGAUAUACUGAGGGAGAUGGUAUUCAUGCUGAGCCUGAAAGAUAAAUAGGGAAUUUGGACAGCAGAAAAGAAGAUAACUGCUGUGAGGUUUAAGCAAACAGGUAAAAGCAGUUCCAGUAAAGGUGUUUAUGUUGAGCUCUAUCUUUGUGUUAAGAAGGGCAUAAUCUGUACCACUAGGUCCAGCUAAUGAGGAAAUAGUGACUAAGUCUAAUAUAUAUUUUGGAGUUAUGGCUACUGGAAGGUAUGGAUUAUCUCCAUAGAAAAACUUACAUAGACUCUUACAUAUAACUGCAAGGGGUUUGCAUACUCUCUGAAGGCCACAUUGGGAGCCCACGUUUAGAAUUACUUGUUUAGACUGUACGGUCCAAUUGGGGAAGCACCAGUUCUACCACGGUGACACUUCUGGCCAUACAAAGACAUGAGGGAGUGCCCCUCUUAAGAAGCACUGCCUAAAAAUACUAGUUUGCUUUCCUGGGGCAGGAAUCAGGCCCCAUACCUCCCUGGUGCUAUUACACUCAGAUGGUGGUAGGGGGAUUCCAUGGAAUAAGAAAAUGUUAUUCAUGAGAAAUAAGUUGGACUAGAGUUUGGCGCAGAGCUCUUUACACCCCAUUUACUGACUUCUUUGUGAGACUUCUUCUUUCUGGGAGGAAGUUGAUGAGUUUAUGCCAGAUAGGUAGGGUAGGUAGCAACCAGGAUGUAGUUAUGUUUCUGAUAGUUCUUAGUCUUGUGUGUUUUGAUCUCUUGAUUAAAAUUCCCCAGAGUUACUCAGAAUCUCUAAAAAUAUUCUAUGACACAGCGACAUGCUGAUCAGUUUUGCUACUUUUUCAUGAAGUAGGAUUGUUACCAAAGAGAAAACUGCAAGGGAUGUGCUGCCCAAUCAGAGGAGGCUUCUUCAUCCUUCAACUCCAUGAUGAACUCUUAUAUGAAGUGGCAGAAGAAGAUGUUGUUCAGGUAGCUCAGAUUGUCAAGAAUGAAAUGGAAAGAGCUGUAAAACUGUCUGUAAAAUUGAAAGUGAAAGUGAAAAUAGGUGCCAGCUGGGGAGAGCUGAAGGACUUUGAUAUGUAACUGUGCUGUUGAUGAAGUCCUCCCAGGGAAGCCUGUGCAGAUAUAGUCACCUGGAAAGAACAGAGAUAACCCUUUCACCUACCUCAGGAAAAUGAACUUUCAAGUCUUCAUAGACUUAGCCUAGUAAUUUUAUAGUGAGAGUUUCAAACUAUGUAUCAGGGUCCGUUCUUUGUAGCAUCAAAAACUUUUGGGGAUAGGGAAAGUGAAAUACCAAGUAUAAUAGUUACACUCACUUUCAAAGAGCAUCUAUGAAUUUUCCUUUUGUAAUUUACUGUGGCUUUAAACAUAUUCAGGACAGAUGUUUGAAAUAUGCACUUGGCACUUUGGCUCCACGUAUGUCUGGGUAAACCAUGAAGAAAAUGAAACUGCUGCCUCUGCUGACCCUGACAGGAGCCAUAGGUGGAUAAAGAUUUGGUUUCACCCUGGUGGUGUCAGGCAUUGUGUGUGACUUCUUUUCCCUCUAAUAUCACUUUUAGAGUAUUGAAAUAGUAUUUCACAAUAGUAUUGGCUAAUAAAUUAUGAAUUCUAUAAAGUGGUAAGGCUUGGUAUGGCUGGAGUCUAGGAAUGAAUAUGCAUGAAAUGUUUCUUAUUGCUUUUCCUUCCCUAAUUCAUACAAUGAAUGUAUUUGGAAUACUUACAUAUCAUAAAAUAAACUAAACCUCUUCAAGAGGUAUCCUGUUCUGUAAGAUCAGAUGUUUUUGUUGCAGGUAAAUAUAAUACUGCCAGAGAUGGAAAAUACUCCCUUAUCAGUCCCUUAGUGCCUCUUUCUAUUUGUGGCAUGGUGAGAAAAACCCAUGCUGAAAAGAUUAUACUUUGUAAUCUCAAUCAGAGGUAUGGAGCUGAUCUUCUUGCUGUUGAAAUAAAAUGAAUUCAUGAGAAACUUUAUAUCAA